GGUAUAAAAUUGAUUAUAAACUUGCCAUUCGUUGAUAAUCGAAAAGGAAAUGGAGAUCUUGACUAAGCCAAUUCAUGGUGCAUGCGUGGAUGCAAUUCAUAACUAAAUGACAACAAUACGAUCUGGCUUGAUAAUGAGAUUAAUUAAUGAAUGAUGUUCAUCGAUUACAUUACACUUUGCUACAUCAAUCCCAUAGGCCUUAUUUCGUGCAAAAUUAUCAAUCAAUUACAGAGAUAUAAUUUUUUUUUCUGAGUCAUUAAGCAUGCAUGGUGCCACCAAAGACACAUGGAGCUUGGCCUCUUACGGGUUCGGCUGCUUUCUAUUUCUGUUCCUCGGAUUCGGGUUUUGAGACGCCUCUUUCAGUUUUUUAUAAUCAACGUACCCGAUGCCGUGCUCAAGAGUGCCUGCCUUGUUGGUCGUCGUCACCGCCGCCUCUGCCGGCUGGCAAAAUGGUAUCGUAAUGCCCCAUAUUUGGCAGUAAUUCUUCGCCUGAUUUUUCACUUGAUUAGAUGCAUUCACGUUAUUCACAAAUAACAGUGAAACAAUUGCCAAGGUCAUUAGCCAUGAUGUGAACUUGGAUACCGCCAUUUUUUCUUUCUGUAAAUGAUCUUGUAAUUUUGCAAUUUUUUUCUAAUUCCAACUUCGGGGCUAUAUAAAGAUUUUUGUAUGGAGGGUUCCAAGUUAGCAAUUGGAUCUAAAUUUGGAAGUUUUGACCUUUUCCCCACGUUUUGUUUGUGGGAUAAUUUGGGAUGAGAGUAAUAUAUAUAAUAAGAUUCCGUUGUAUCACCGAUAUUUAUUCUGACUUGGUUUAUUUCUUUGGUUAUUUUGUGUGUGAUUUUUAGACUAUUUGUUAGGCAGCAACUAGGUAAACUCAUAUACUCGCCCUUUGGCCGAGUGGCAGCCGUUCAAGUCCCCACAAAAGCUGAGUGGUAGCAGUUUAAGCCUCCACAAAAGUAUUGUGGGGGCUAAUCCUUCCUCAAUUAUCAUUUUUAAUUGAGUGAAAGUUAGUCUUCUUCUUUACCAAUGUGAGUAGAGUAGACAUUUCUUGAAAAAUAUUAUAAAGGGUAAAAAUCUGGGCAGUGUUUCAUGAGAAUGUAUGUAAACUAUGGUAAAAAUAUGGGCAGUGCUUCAUGAGAAUGUAUGUAAAUUAGUCUCAAUAAUAGUCUCAUGUAAAUAUGAGUGAUAAUCUCAUUAUAAAUAUCAGUAAUAGUCUCAUGUAAUAUGACUUAUAGUCUGAUUGUAAUGGUAAGUUAAAAAAAAAGCUUGGUAAAUCUAGAUGAAAAUAAUACUAAAAAAAGAUCACAAAUAAAAUAAUUAAGAUUAAUUGUAACAAUUAAUCCUGCAUAUUGCACAUAUAUCAAUGUUAAGAAGAAUCCAUGGACAAAGUUGUUGAAUAAGCAAAUUGAGUAUAUCGCAUUGAGGAAAGUUAAACAAUAAAUACCAAAUAUCCAAGCAAAAAGUAAAAACAAAUAGACAAAAAUGUAUUUUGAUUUGUUCCUGUAAAUGCUUCGAUUUGAGUUUAAUAAUCUUGAAUCAUUAAACGAAGUACAAGAAUUAAUCUCAAAUUAAGAGACCAACAUUGUCAUUCGUGGUCUUGGAUUUAUGCCGACGACUCAUUUAUGAACAAUAAACAUGACGUAUCAGUCAUCGAACAACAUCCGAAAGUUAUCGGUCUCAGCAAUUAGAAAUCUAGAGUAUAUCUACUAAUGAUAGGUGAACACAUGACAAUAAAUGCCAAAAAAAAAUUUAAAAUAAAAAUUUAUGUUCUCUUUCUUCAAUAUCCAUCCAAUAUUUUUUAUUUAAAAAAAAAAGAAACAAAUCAUUAAUGUUGCUGUUUCUGUCUCGCUUCAUUAGCUCAAUCAUAUUCUUCUGUUCUCUUCUCAGUCUUUAUCUUCAUUCUAUUGACUGCCAUUCUUAAAAGCUUGUGAAAAAAAAGAAGGAUUUUUUUAUGAUGAAGAUGGUUUUUGUUGAUUUCGUCACUGGCAGUGAAGUAGCUGCAGAUUUCUUUAUGAUCGAUGAUGAAGAAGUUGAUUUUGCAAUGCUGCUAUUGUGUCAUCCCAAGUAUUGUGAUCGGGCUAGUAGAGACUCUUUCAAUGGACAUUGCAGCUGCCUUCUCGCAGCUGGGGAGAUUGUAUUGGAUUUAUUUUUAUUUUGUUAGCUUAUUAUUAUUCAGAUUAUUAAUGAAUUUUAAUGAAUAAUAUUUUAUCUUUUUUUUUUAACUAGUUCAUUUGGAAUUCGAAUUUCUUCUGUUUAGUUCUAAUUUGUAACUGUAUAUUUAAACUUGUUUAUCAUAAUCGCAAGAUCAAAUAGUAAGCUCUAUAACAUCUUAAUUUCCAUUAAAUCCCUGAUAACAUUAUUCUUUUGUAAAAAUAAAAAAUCUGCUGGCAGUUAGAACUUAUUGUAUCCAAUAAAGAGUAACUAACAUUUGCUUAGAAAAACAAAAAACUUCUAGAGAUGAGUUAACGUUGUCAUAUGUUUUAAUUGCCCGAAACAAUUACAUCGUAGCUUUGCUGAUAUCUUAACAACUAAAGAGUAAAAUGAAAUUAUGUCUUAAUUUUGUCAAAUAAAUUGAUAAAAGAAUUGCAAAUAUAUGGUGAUGAGAUAAUCAAGAGUUAUAGAAUUUUAAUUACAGAAGAACAGAAUAGUAGCUAUUAAUAGACCAAUAUAGUCACUCGGCCUUUAGUUGAGUGGUUGGGCUGUGUGAGGGCAGCAAUUCAAGUCUCACAAAAGUAUUGUGGGGCUCAAGUCCUUCCUCAAUUAUAACUUAUAAUUGAGUGAAGGUCAGUCUUCUCCCUGACUAAUGUGAGUGGAGUAGACGUCUCUCGAAUAUUAGAGAGGAUAAAAAUUUGGACGGUGCUUCAUGAGAAUGUACGUAAACUAAAUCCUAGUAAUAGUCCCAUGUAAAUAUAAGUGAUAGUUUGAUUGUAAAUAGACGUCUCUCGAAUAUUAAAAAGGAUAAAAAUUUGGACGGUGCUUCAUGAGAAUGUACGUAAACUAAAUCCUAGUAAUAGUCCCAUGUAAAUAUAAGUGAUAGUUUGAUUGUAAAUAUCAGUAAUAUUCUCAUGUAAUAUGAGUGAUAAUCUGAUUGUAAUAAUCAGUUUAAAAAAAAUAAUAGACCAAUAUGCUACAAGAAUUAUUGUUUAAGAUUACUUUAUGAGAAAUGUGAAAAAGCACUGUCUCAAUGUUCUAUGCAAAAAUUUAUAUAUUUCAAGUAACAUAAUUUUCAUCAUUAAAAAAAAAAUGCUUCUUCAGAGGGUUUAAAAAAUGGCACUAAAAUGGAAAUAAAGAUUAGAGAAUGAAAUAAUAAAGUGACAAAGAAAUAGCAACAUUAAUGAUUGACCUCUUUUUUUAAAUUAAAAAAUAUUAGAGGAAUAUUGAAAAGAGAGAAUCACAAAUUCAAAUUUUAAAAAUUUUCAACAUUUAUUAAUUCUAUCUGGCUAUGUUGGACUAACUCUAAUGUAGAGCCGACAAGUAUAGCCUUACAAUCAAAACUCAAAGGGACUUGUGGUUAUCAUCGCACAAUUAUAUUUGUUAGUUCUAUGUUGGAAUUGCUCCAACUUAGAGAAGACACAGUCAUGUGCUGUUUUGAAAGUCACUUAACACACGCGCACACUGUUAAAUGCAUGAUUUGAACUAUGUAAGACCUUUAUAUAAUAAGUCAAGUAAAACAGAUAAAAAAAAUUUCAUAGUGAAAAUAUAAAAUUAAUUCAAAAGAUUAAAGGAAUGGAUAAAUGGGUGGAUUUGAUUAUGAACUGUGUCACUACUCCCACAUUCUCUAUUCUGAUAAAUGGGAUUGCAAAAGGUCUAAUUCAGGCCCAAAGAGGCCUUCGACAGGGAUGUCCGUUAUCACCAUAUUUGUUCAUCAUAUGUGCAGAAGUAUUUUCAAAUCUUUUAUUGCAGGGAGAGCGGCAAAGUUGGAUUCACGGGCUGGAAUUUUCUAGAGACAUCACUAUUUUCCACCUUCUUUUUGCGGAAGAUAGCUUUGUAUUCACAAGGGCUAAUAUUGAAGAGUGCAAGCAUUUAAAGUCAAAUUUUGAUUGCUAUACUUCUGCAUCAGGCCAAGUUUUUGACUAUGAAAAAUCAUUAAUGUUCCUUAGUGGUCAGAUUCAGGAAGGACAAAUCACAGCAAUAAAGAAGUUUUUUGAUCUCACUGUGGUGUCUAAGCAUGAGAAAUACUUGGGCUUGCCUUCAAUGAUAGGAGGGAAAAGAACAAGUUUCUUUAACGAUAUUAAACUCAAAGUCUUGAGUAAGAUAUCUAGUUGGCAGCACAAAAUUUUUUCCAAUAGAGGCAAGGAAAUUCUGAUAAAAGUCGUAGCUCAGGUUGUCCCUGCAUAUGCAAUGAGUGUUUUUAAAAUUUCGAUAGAGCUGUGCAAUGAAAUCCAGAGAGGAAUGGCAAGAUUUUGGCGGGCACCGAAGGAAGAUAGAAAAGGAAUGCACUCGACAAAAUGAGAGAAGAUGAGAUGUGCUAAAUAUAGAGGAGGAAUGAGAUUCAGAGACAUAUCUAGUUUUAACCAAGCCUUGGUUGCAAAGCAAGGUUGGAGGCUGAUUUAGUAUCCUGAUUCCUUGGUAGCAAGAGUGUUGAAAGCAAAAUAUUUUAAGAACUCUCAUUUUCUCAAGGCCAAGACAAGAUCCAACCCUUCUUUUGUUUGGAAAAGCAUCUUAUAGGAUAGACAGGUUCUUCAAAUAGGCAUCAGAUGGAGAGUUGGAAGAAGAGAAAAAAUUAAAAUCCACUCCAGUAAUUGGCUGCCUAGGCCAAUGUCUUUUAAACCAAUUGUGAGAUCAAUGCUGCCAGCUGACACCAGAGUUUCUGAGCUGAUUGGUCCUAACCACAGGUGGGAUGAAGCUUUAAUUCAGCAGAACUUUGCUGCAGAUGAUGCUGAAGCUAUUAUGAGAAUUCCUUUGCCUAGUGAGCCCAAAGAAGAUGAGAUGCUUUGGCACUAUGACAAGAAGGGGAAUUAUUCUGUUAAAAAUGGUUACCAAUUAGCUCUUAAGAUCAAAUUUCCUGACAAGUCUUGUUGUUCAAACUCUGACCCCCAAGGUUGGCAAACAAUAUGGAAGUUGGGGAUUCCUAAAAAGGUGAAAAUUUUCUUAUGGAGAGCUGCAAAAAACUUGAUGCCAACUAGGAAAACUUAUGGAAAAGGAAGGUGGUGCAUGAGCUUAUCUGUCAAAUAUGUAAGAAGGAGCUGGAAAAUAUUCCCCAUGCUCUGCUGGACUGCAAACUUGCCAAGAAAAUGUGGAGGCACACCCAUAUUGCUGCAGAAGUUCAAAAUGAAGCCAGACAGGAUUUGUUGAGCAUGCUGCAAAGCUUGACAAAAAAAACUAACAACCAAGGAGAUUAAGCUGGUAUCUUUUGUGUGGUGGGGGUGUGGAAUGCAAGGAACAAAGUUAUUUAUGAAGGAAAAAGCCAGAUUCUGCCAUAUCAAUAGCUAAGGUUACUGCAGUCAUGGAAGCUUAUCAAAGAGUCAAAGAGCUUGAGCAGUAGUAAUUUAAACAAAGAGAGUCGAGAGAAACACAUCAAUGGGAACCGCCCUCUAAAGGGUGGCAUAAAAUCAAUGUGGAUGCGGCUAUUGACAAAAAUCAGCAAAUUGCAAGUCUUGGGGUUGUUAUCAAAGACUCAUCUCAGAAGAUUGUAGCAGCAACUAGUAGGUGUAUAAAAUUUUAUGAGGACACCUCUUUUGCAGAAGCUGAGGCAGCCAAAUGGGGAUUAUACGUAGCUCAAAAUGCUAGACUUUCAUCAGUAAUUAUUGAAUCUGAUUGCUUAGAGGUGGUUGAGCUAAUUAAUAAUAGGAAAAGCAGUCGGAUUGAAUUAUGCUGGCCUAUUUCUGAUAUAAUCAGCAGCAGCAGGAAAGAUUUCCAAGUGGUUAAAUGUCAGCAUGUUCUUCGAGCUUGUAAUACUAUUGCUCAUAGCUUGGCUAAAAGAGCGAUAAGAUGUGGUGAAACCAAUAUUUGGCUGGAAAACUUUCCGGACGUUGUCCUGUCUUAAUUUCAGUUGAAUGGUAGAAAGUUUUUUCUUUCUUUCAAAAAAAAAAAAAACAUAAAGAAGAAAUAGCCUUUAGGCUAAUUGAAAAGCGAGGGAAGCCUCUGGAUUUCUGAAAACAGCAUUUAUAAGGCUCUGGUUGCUAGGCUAAAUUCCUAGAUCUCCUCGUGAAGAGGGGGGGGGGGGGGGGGGAGAGAGAGAGAUUCAUCAAAUUCUUAUUCUUUAUAAUAGUGAAACUCAUUGUCUUAUUUUUCAGUGAUUUUAGUGCUGAACCACUUUAAUUUUAUGUCGUUUAAUUAUAUUUUCGUUUCAGUUUCCGAAGAUAUAAUUAGAGUCUCGAAAAAAUUGUUUCUUUGAAAAAUUGGAAUAAAACACAAACAACCCACCCAAAAAAAAAAACCUGCAUGUCUCUUCUUCUUUGAUUUCUUGCAAGUUACAACGUACGCACUACAGGAAGGCAUCCCAAAUUUUCAUGCCCUCCACACAAACGAGUUUUUAUUAUUUAUAUUCCAACCUUAUACAAAACUAAAGAUCCCUCUCUAAAUCUUUCUCUAAUUUGCAAUGAAGGUUUUAACUCAGCCAGGGGCAGUCAGAAUCAUUUAUUCGUUGAGUUUUGAAAUUAUACAUCUCAGGUUAUAUUCUAAAAUGUAAAAUCUCUUCCCCAAUACUCUCAUAAGAAAUUAUUAACAUGAGGGCCCACCCCAAGAUGAGUGGUCUCUUAUUCCGACUUUUCCAGAGCCUACGGUAGCACAUUCCGGGAAGUCCAAUAAACAAAUCAUAAUUCGCACUAAAAACUGAUGAUGUUUUACAAUUUUAUCAAUAAUAAGAAUUAAUAUUAAAAGAAUAAUUAAUUUUUGUGGGUACGGUGUCUUCAUCAGUUAGGGGGAUUUUCUUUUUAUACUUCUAUUAUACAUACAAUCAACUAAUAAAAUCAUUAUAUGUGUACAAUGCAGUAUACGAUGUGUUAAAAUCAUUAUGGACUUGUUGUUCAUAGGUCAAAUGUACCAAAGCUUUAUUUUUCCUUCUUUCAAUCUUCACACAUCGUUCGAUCUUUCUUUUUUGAUGUAUGCGGGCUCCGCUUCCAUAGUCUCCUUCUCCCUUCUGUAAUCGGAUGGAGUAUGAUACCAGGUGACACCUAGACCGCGCAUUGGCCGGGGAGAGCCAACCGUCGCCAUUUCCGACGCCGUUUCUGCAUCAGAUGCUUCCGCUGUGUUGUUUAAAACCAGCAUUGAAAGAAUUGCCGAGAUCAUUAGCCAUGAUGUGAACUUAGACACCGCCAUGACUUGAUUUUAUUCAACAUUAAUUGCCUAUUUCUUAAUCUGGGCUCAGGGCUAAUUU
RNAcentral lists this long non-coding RNA (7315 nucleotides) under Citrus x clementina. RNAcentral's name for it is "Citrus clementina (C. clementina) long non-coding RNA (CCLE_LNC003544)". The record is from RNAcentral. Lineage: Eukaryota; Viridiplantae; Streptophyta; Magnoliopsida; Sapindales; Rutaceae.